UGUUUCUGGUCGACACAUUCACAGAGAAAAAGGGGGUUCUCCUUCUUGAACCCUAACUCAUAAUUUCCAUCAAAUUCCAAGGGGGGAAACGGAUUAGGAUCGAAACCAACCUGAAUUCGUAAUCAACCAAGCUAGAAAAAUCACAAGUUUGACUCUAAACAAGCUAGGUGGGAGCUUGGAAACGAACGGGUCAAACGGAUGAUGGAUGCAAAGAAUGUUUGCGCGGACGCGAGGUGAUAUCAAGUGUACCCGGAUGGAGAUCAAGCGAUGACAAAGGACCAAACACACGAAAAUAAAGCUUCCGCAAGUUGUUUCGUCGUUAAUCUUAAAUGAUGAAUUAAAUCACAUUAUGUU
RNAcentral lists this long non-coding RNA (354 nucleotides) under Helianthus annuus (common sunflower). RNAcentral's name for it is "sRNA HanXRQr2_Chr10g0439901". Lineage: Eukaryota; Viridiplantae; Streptophyta; Magnoliopsida; Asterales; Asteraceae. The record is from RNAcentral.